Micropterus dolomieu (smallmouth bass) is the source of this 1031-nucleotide long non-coding RNA. RefSeq lists it as uncharacterized. The transcript has 3 exons. NCBI's taxonomy places the organism in Eukaryota, Metazoa, Chordata, Actinopteri, Centrarchiformes, Centrarchidae. The record is from RefSeq and is a predicted model, not a curated record.
GCGCCACCUUAUGAUUAAAUACAGCUGUACCAGGGUUGUCAUUGGCAACGGAACAGCAUGUCGUGAGACUGAGUCCUUCUUUGCUGACCUCAUCUCUAGGCGCUAUUUUCACCCCCUGGACGUGUCCUACUGAUGAUGCUGGGAGGGCAGGGAAAGAUGACUGGCCUCAAGGAGUGACGGUUUUUGCUAACUAUGAGGGUCUUACUCCCCUGCUGACUGACCCACGGCUGACCCUGACUUGCCAUUAGUGAAACCUCAUUACGUCGGCAACAAGGACGAUGGCAAUGACGGAGAGUAGCUAUGUAGCAUCAGGAACAGCAAGGGGUCCUAAUGCCUGCUGUGAAUGUCCCCAGUAUAGUUAAUUGACCUAGUUUCUUGUAUACUUUGUGACUUUUCUAUAUGUGUGAGCGUUUGUUGGUAUAAGCUCACAGUUUUUGAUCGACAGGUGUAAAAAGUCUUUCAGGCAGCCCAUGUAUAGGAAGCUGGCUCCGUCAUGGAGGUGGAAAACCACCAUCCCGCACAGCAACCUUACACUGUACAGACAAACAAUUCCAGAGCUAAAUACUGUUCUGUCUGUUUGAGUGUAUUUACAGAGUCACUGACUCUUUCCUUCUCUACCUUACCAUCUGCGUUUCUUUGGCUUUCUUUGUUUUUUUAUGCUUUCCUUUUGUCAUCCUCAGCUACUGGAAGCAGCUAAGAAAGAUGUAUUCUGGCUCAAAAGCAAAUAUCCACAAAAAUAUGUGUGUGAAAUAGAGAGUGAGCGCAAGAGAGAGAAUAUAUAUUGGCUGCAGUGUGUUAUCGUCCAGACUAGAGAACAGUUUUGAUUUUAUGAGGAUUUUUAACAUUGUUACCUUGUUAGAUAGGAUCAUUAAAAUGUGACAUUGCUGUUGUUAAAAGUUUUUAUUUUUUAUUUUUGGCAGAAGUACUGUUAGGUGUAUUUUAAUGGCUGUGGUUUAUAUGGUUUUUGUGUGUGUCUGUACCUACAAUACAAGUACAUGUGUAUAGUAAUACAGACCCUCCUUUCCUUUCCU